GGGUGGGGGUUGGGGGCAGUGAAAUGUGAAAAGGGAGACGUGGACUCUCCCUGAGGAAGGCGAGUGUGACUCACCAGUUGGUGUGCACGCCGAGCUGGUCACAGCACACAGUUCCUAAUGUCCCGGCGCUUCCAAGUCGGGUCUGACGUCAUUCAGGCUUCCGUGGAGCAGGGACACCUCCUGCUUUACUGGAACCAUGAGCCCUGCAAAAAGUGGUGAGGGUGAUUUUUCCAAUUCAUCAUUCAUUGAAGCAGUUAAACUGGAAAUAGAACAUUAGUGCUGUGUUAAGGUAAACAGCAGCCCGUCUAGUGGUAUUACCAUGAAGUCUCUAGUUUUUAAUGUCAGAUCCGUGGGAGACGGGCAGUACAUGUUAGCGAUGGACUGAACGGAGGUGAGAGAGCUCAGGCGUGGGCUGCUGUCAGGAGCAGGAGUGUUAGUCAUUUGCCUUGAGAAACACAUCUCAGUAUUGUUAGUGAAUCCCUUAAUCAUGCGUCUCUGAAAACGGGCACCACAAAACCAAAGUUACUGGGGGCAGGGGGCGGCGGCACUCUGGCAAGGCUGCUCUCGAUGGUGUGCCGGUUCUCCUCGGACGCUCCUCUCAAAAGGGUCUCUCCUCUGCCUAAUAGUUUUACUCACACUGGUCAUAGAAGGCAAGUCCGUGCAGCCCACGCCCCCCCCUAGCCCUCUGGCCCUCGGCCUGCCCCUGCAUAUGUUCUGCCCACCUUGGGUUCACCCACUGUCCCCACCAGAAGAUGCCAAGAACAUCCUCGCCGCCUCCCUGGAAGAGCCCACAGCCUUCUCUGACCCCCUGGGCUCCCCUCCCUCCCACGGCCACUCUGGGUACACAGUACCUUCCGAGGGUCAGUUUCUCUUUGUUUUUUAAGUGCCUGCACAAGGUGCAGACCUCUGGGACCUGCCAGAGAGUCGGCCUGUGCCCUGCCCUUCCCUCCCCGACCCUGCACUGGGCCCCUGGGGGGUCUGUGGCAGCUGCCCCCUGCCAGGGUCCCCGGGCUCCACAGGCAGGACAAUCCAAAGGUGAGCGCGGGUGUGGUGUUUGAGGCUGGCUGUGUCACUCUCGCCUGCGCUGCUGCGGUCACAGUCACAGACUGUGAAGGCGCCUGCUUAGCUAGCGAGUGAGGAGAGUGGAAGUGGGGCAGCCGCCGCAGGUGCAUCAGACCCAAGAGGGCAAAGAAUCAGAGUUAAGACCAGGAUGACUCACCUGCUGGUCACUGGAACCCUGGCUGCCUGGCUCAUCCUGUUCUUCUGUCUGUGGGAUUGAGGUGUCUGCCCACAAGGGCCGAGGAAAGCCGUCACCAGUAGGGCGAAACGAGAUCAGAAGUGCGCCUUUGAAGAUGACUGUGAGAGUAUUCGUUUGUUUCUCUUUUAAAGUACGUGGAGUCUGAGCUGAAUUCGGGGCCUUGGCCACGUGGCAGGUGGACGAGGGUUCUCCUGGGACCGCGCUGUUGACAUCAAGGCACUGAGCUGUGCUUGGAUGGGGGCUGGUGCGCUCCAAGGUUUUGCAGAAUGGGACAGUCCAUACCCAGGCACUUUAUUUUCAUGAAUAAUGCAGGCUUUUCGUUCAGACAGUGGAAUAACCCACACGCUGGGCCUUCCCAUUUAACACGUAUGGCGUUUGCCGGAGGAACUGUGAGCAAGUGGCACGAGGGGGUUUGACGGAGGCAGUGGGUGGGCAAGUCUGCCGUGGGGCGGCCACGCACAGGCCCCUGGUUCUCCAGGUGCCGGAGGCUGGUUUCUCUCAGCUCACCUGCAUGUGGGCUCUGGGUCGCCGGGCACUGGGUGAUGGUUUGUUCCGUCUUCCUGGGCAUUCGUUGCAGGGAUGGGAGCUACUGGUGCAGCGAAUUCUAAAGUGGAACGUGAGUUGACGAUGGUCAUUUGAUCAGAUGCCUCGGGACUGCCCGAAAGUGUUUAGCAUCCACCAAAUAGUCGAGUACCUGUGACAGGCCGGGGGGCCCUGCCCAGCGGGGGCGGGUGUUGCAGGGCACAUCACCCCUCUGCCCCUGCUGCCACGUCCUAGUCUUCGUGUUUCCCUCUGGCGUCUCUGGGUCUCUGUCCCCACCUUGUGCACCAUGCGUCCCUGAGGGGAGUCGCACCUGUGUCUUGAGUCUGCUGUAAGGUGUUCAGUCUACCUCAAGGGGGUCGUCAUGGUCAGCUCUGUCCCAUAGCAGUCCUUCCCACGUCGCCACACACACUGGAAUGUAUAUCUGCCCUGGCCCCGGCCCACCUUCGUCAGUCACCCUCCUGACCCCAUCUCUUCCUCUGUCACCACAAACUCCUAGUGCAAAUUGGAUGCUGCUUUAAAUGUGAAAACAAUUGUUCAAAAGCUAUGAAACCUGAAUGAAAGCUAAAGCUGAAUUUAUAAGCCUUGUUGCAUAUGAGCCAAAAGUGCAAAAAGCUCUAUAUAAUGAACUAACCUGCCACUCGUAUAAAUAUAAAUAUAUAUAAAUAUAUUAAAAUCAGACUGUUCUACAAAAUUGUGUAUUUGUAUUUUUGUGUACGUACAAUUUUCUGCUAAGCAGAAGGAGGAUGUAGUAUAGGAAGCUGUGAGAAGAGAUUCGGUUUAAUCCUGUUUCUUUGUUACUUAUUUUUGUUAACAUCAGAUGAUGCCUGUCUUUGUCUCACGUGUAUGACACUGUUUGGAAAUCUGCAGUAUCUCUCUUCCUUAGGGCCAGUGUCCUCUAGAGAAUGAAGCCUGGGUGGAGAGCGCCGUCCUGGGCACCGGACGUGGGGCGGUGGCCCAGGUUGCCCGGGCGCCACUGGGGGCCCUGAGGUGGGACUGCAGGAACCAGAACUCCCCUUUCUAGAAAUCAGCUUCCAAAACAGGACUGUCAGCGCUAAGGCAGACUCCCCACCGGGAGGGGGCGCGCACGAGGGCCAGAAGGUCGCCCAGAAAGCCAGCCUGGCUCCCUGGGCUCUGGCCCCUCUCCCACCUAGCUGCUGCCUUUUUCAGAUCAGGUUACCAAAUGCCUCCCCUCUGCCGAGCUGCUGGCGCUUCAUCCCCCAGACCUCCAGCCCCAGCUCCCUGGAGGGUCUCAGAACCCACCUUCCCGGUGCUAACACACGAGAGGCAGUAGUGCGGCUGCCAGCAGGGGCCAGAAACGAGCGUCAGACUGGCUCUGCGUGCCCCGGACAGCCGGCCUUCCCCCGACAGAAGCCCCAGGCCUGGGCCUGCCCCCACUCCCGCCCACCUCUCAGCGUGCUCCCACCAGCCAGCACCUCCCCAACCCUGACGUGAACCUUCUCUAGGGAGAGUGAUACUGCACCUUCGCCUGUGGGACUCAUAUUUAUAACAAUGUGUGAUGACUGUAGCAAACAGCCCUUGUUUCUGGAUGUACAUGGUCCGAGAAACAAGCGCUCUCUUGUAUUGAUUAAAAUAGUUCCGAUGAGUCCUGUAUCCUUGUAUCUCCUAUUCUGGAUUAGUGCCUUUUGGACAGUAGACUGUUCUGUAAUUAAAAUGUAGUAUACUGCUUUUUUGUACAGUUUUGUUUUAAUAAAACUUUUUUUUAAUUUGUGUUUAUUUUAGUAUUGUACCUAUU
Molecule: long non-coding RNA, 3554 nt
Organism: Bos taurus (domestic cattle)
Lineage: Eukaryota; Metazoa; Chordata; Mammalia; Artiodactyla; Bovidae
Source: Ensembl